This is a long non-coding RNA of Sinocyclocheilus grahami, 510 nucleotides long. RefSeq lists it as uncharacterized. Lineage: Eukaryota; Metazoa; Chordata; Actinopteri; Cypriniformes; Cyprinidae. The transcript has 3 exons. The record is from RefSeq and is a predicted model, not a curated record.
UGAAUCAUGUGUAAAAAUGCAGAAGUGACUGCUUUUUCAUGCUAAUACAUUCAUGAAAUUGUUUUACACAUGAAUGCAUCUGAUAAUGGAAGAUUCUUGUAGUCUAGGAUAAGUUAAGAUAGCACUUUUUCUUUUCAGAUUUAGUUUAGCGCCUGAAGGAAUGCGUUAGUUCACAGGUUGUGAAAUCUAAGGACACUUGAUGCAGUUUGGGAGACACCUAUGAUCUGCAGUGGUAUGUGUCGGUUUGCAUGUACACGUCUGUUUGACGUGCAUGCGAUCCAGUUCACGAUCCCUGGUAAGGAUGACAGAGAAUAAGAUCUAGAAAGCACAUGCAUCCUAAAAAAAAAAGUCUUAAGCUUGUUUUUGUGACCACCGAGUACCCAAAAUUAAAUUGGAGGCUGGUGACUUCUUAGCGGUCAUCGUCCUUGAAUGCACUACGUAACGCAUUUUUUAUUGAAAAACACUCAAGUAAUGACCUUUUUUGUGUGUUGAAUUCAUUUUUGUAUUCGU